Molecule: ribosomal RNA, 239 nt
Filed under: uncultured bacterium
Lineage: Bacteria
Description: partial 16S ribosomal RNA
Rfam family: Bacterial small subunit ribosomal RNA
Source: RNAcentral
CCGGCACGGGUGAGUAACACGUAUCCAACCUGCCGUCUACUCUUGGCCAGCCUUCUGAAAGGAAGAUUAAUCCAGGAUGGGAUCAUGAGUUCACAUGACCGCAUGAUUAAAGGUAUUUUCCGGUAGACGAUGGGGAUGCGUUCCAUUAGAUAGUAGGCGGGGUAACGGCCCACCUAGUCAACGAUGGAUAGGGGUUCUAAGAGGAAGGUCCCCCACAUUGGAACUGAGACACGGUCCAA